Molecule: unclassified non-coding RNA, 1444 nt
Filed under: uncultured Pleosporales
Lineage: Eukaryota; Fungi; Ascomycota; Dothideomycetes; Pleosporales
Description: sequence contains 18S rRNA gene, ITS1, 5.8S rRNA gene, ITS2, 28S rRNA gene
Rfam family: Eukaryotic large subunit ribosomal RNA (bases 502-1444)
Source: RNAcentral
GGAAGGAUCAUUACAUGCCGCGCUCUGCGCGGACUCUGGGGGCGGCUUGCUCCGCACCCAGGGCAUUUACCCUUUGUCUACGAAUACCCACCGUUUCCUCGGCAGGCCUGCCUGCCAACGGGGACCUCAUUCAAACCUUUUUGCAUUUAGAAGUCGUGUCUGAAUGGUAUCAAUCAUUUACAACUUUCAACAAUGGAUCUCUUGGCUCUGGCAUCGAUGAAGAACGCAGCGAAAUGCGAUAAGUAGUGUGAAUUGCAGAAUUCAGUGAAUCAUCGAAUCUUUGAACGCACAUUGCGCCCCUUGGUAUUCCAUGGGGCAUGCCUGUUCGAGCGUCAUCUCAAACCUCAAGCAUGGCUUGGUGUUGGGCGCCUGUCCCGCCGCUUCGCGCGCGGACUCGCCUCAAAGUCAUUGGCGGCCGGCGUUCUCGACAUUCCGCACGCAGCAGACUGCGCGAUGCGAACUCGGGGAGCCUGGCGUCCAAGAAGCUUUUUCUUCCAAGUUUGACCUCGGAUCAGGUAGGGAUACCCGCUGAACUUAAGCAUAUCAAUAAGCGGAGGAAAAGAAACCAACAGGGAUUGCCUCAGUAACGGCGAGUGAAGCGGCAACAGCUCAAAUUUGAAAUCUGGCUCCCUCGGGGGUCCGAGUUGUAAUUUGCAGAGGGUGCUUUGGCGUCGAGCGCGGUCUAAGUUCCUUGGAACAGGACGUCACAGAGGGUGAGAAUCCCGUAUGUGGUCGCCGAUCUUCGCCAUGUAAAGCCCCUUCGACGAGUCGAGUUGUUUGGGAAUGCAGCUCUAAAUGGGAGGUAAAUUUCUUCUAAAGCUAAAUACUGGCCAGAGACCGAUAGCGCACAAGUAGAGUGAUCGAAAGAUGAAAAGCACUUUGGAAAGAGAGUCAAAAAGCACGUGAAAUUGUUGAAAGGGAAGCGCUUGCAGCCAGACUUGCCUGCGGUUGCUCAUCCGGGCUCUUGCCCGGUGCACUCUUCCGUAGGCAGGCCAGCAUCAGUUUGGGCGGCCGGACAAAGGCCUCUUACACGUACCUCCCUUCGGGGAGGACUUAUAGGAGAGGCGACAUGCGGCCAGCCUGGACUGAGGUCCGCGCUCCGGCUAGGAUGCUGGCGUAAUGGCUGUAAGCGGCCCGUCUUGAAACACGGACCAAGGAGUCUAACAUCUAUGCGAGUGUUUGGGUGUCAAGCCCGGGCGCGCAAUGAAAGUGAACGGAGGUGGGAACCCUUCGGGGUGCACCAUCGACCGAUCCUGAUGUCUUCGGAUGGAUUUGAGUAAGAGCAUAGCUGUUGGGACCCGAAAGAUGGUGAACUAUGCUUGAAUAGGGUGAAGCCAGAGGAAACUCUGGUGGAGGCUCGCAGCGGUUCUGACGUGCAAAUCGAUCGUCAAAUUUGGGCAUAGGGGCGAAAGACUAAUCGAACUAUCUAGUAGCUGGUUCCUGC